CCUACGGGAGGCAGCAGUCGAGAAUCAUUCACAAUGGGGGAAACCCUGAUGGUGCGACGCCGCGUGGGGGAAUGAAGGUCUUCGGAUUGUAAACCCCUGUCAUGUGGGAGCAAAUUAAAAAGAUAGUACCACAAGAGGAAGAGACGGCUAACUCUGUGCCAGCAGCCGCGGUAAUACAGAGGUCUCAAGCGUUGUUCGGAAUCACUGGGCGUAAAGCGUGCGUAGGCUGUUUCGUAAGUCGUGUGUGAAAGGUGCGGGCUCAACCGGCGGACGGCACAUGAUACUGCGAGACUAGAGUAAUGGAGGGGGAACCGGAAUUCGCGGUGUAGCAGUGAAAUGCGUAGAUAUCGAGAGGAACACUCGUGGCGAAGGCGGGUUCCUGGACAUUAACUGACGCUGAGGCACGAAGGCCAGGGGAGCGAAAGGGAUUAGAUACCCGUGUAGUC
This 446-nucleotide ribosomal RNA is filed under the name uncultured bacterium. RNAcentral's name for it is "partial 16S ribosomal RNA". It matches the Rfam family "Bacterial small subunit ribosomal RNA", at positions 338 to 795 of the family's 1533-position model. The record is from RNAcentral.